GGGACAAUUUUGAAUUAAUUAGUUUCUUUUUUUCUAUUCUGAUGUUUCUGAAUUUGCAAGAUUGUUUU
This 68-nucleotide small nucleolar RNA is filed under the name Oryza sativa Indica Group (long-grained rice). RNAcentral's name for it is "Small nucleolar RNA Z159/U59". The record is from RNAcentral. RNAcentral also lists the same sequence under 1 other name. Lineage: Eukaryota; Viridiplantae; Streptophyta; Magnoliopsida; Poales; Poaceae.